Molecule: ribosomal RNA, 422 nt
Filed under: uncultured bacterium
Lineage: Bacteria
Description: bacterial SSU rRNA
Rfam family: Bacterial small subunit ribosomal RNA
Source: RNAcentral
CUUCCGCAAUGGACGAAAGUCUGACGGAGCGACGCCGCGUGAGUGAUGAAGGUUUUCGGAUCGUAAAACUCUGUUGUUAGGGAAGAACNAGUACCGUUCGAAUAGGGCGGUACCUUGACGGUACCUAACCAGAAAGCCACGGCUAACUACGUGCCAGCAGCCGCGGUAAUACGUAGGUGGCAAGCGUUGUCCGGAAUUAUUGGGAGUAAAGCGAGCGCAAGCGGUUUCUUAAGUAUGAUGUGAAAGCCCCCGGAUCAACCGGGGAGGGUCAUUGGAAACUGGGGAACUUGAGUGCAGAAGAGGAGAGUGGAAUUCCACGUGUAGCGGUGAAAUGCGUAGAGAUGUGGAGGAACACCAGUGGCGAAGGCGACUCUCUGAUCUGUAACUGACGCUGAGGCGCGAAAGCGUGGGGAGCGAACAGG